RNAcentral lists this transfer RNA (68 nucleotides) under Bathylaco nigricans (black warrior). RNAcentral's name for it is "tRNA-Phe". It matches the Rfam family "tRNA". From Rfam's summary of the family: Transfer RNA (tRNA) molecules are approximately 80 nucleotides in length. Their secondary structure includes four short double-helical elements and three loops (D, anti-codon, and T loops). The record is from RNAcentral. Lineage: Eukaryota; Metazoa; Chordata; Actinopteri; Alepocephaliformes; Alepocephalidae.
GCCGGCGUAGCUUAAGAAAAGCAUGACUCUGAAGAUGUUAAAAUGGGCCAUAAAAAGCCCCGCAAGCA